UUCUACUUCCGAGACCUGGGAGCUCAAAUCAGCUGGGUGACCGUGAGUACACACAGGCACACGCAUACCACACACACAGGCACACGCAUACCACACACACAGGCACACGCAUACCACACACACAGGCACACACAGGCACACACACAGGCACACGUGUACCGCACACACACAGGCACACGCAUGGUACCGCACACGCAUACCACACACACAUACCACACACGCAUACCACACACACAGGCACACACACGCAUACCACACACACAGGCACACACGCAUACCGCACACGCAUACCACACACACACGCAUACCACACACGCAUACCACACACGCAUACCACACGCAUACCACACGCAUACCACACACACGCAUACCACACACACGUGUGCACACUAACUUGUGGCUAUUAGUUUCCUCCUAACCUUGGUGUAUAUUACUUUUUGUUGAGAAUCACUAUUAAAGUCCCUGUCACAUUAACUGGGGGAUGAAGAGACGGGAGAGACGUGGG
This is a long non-coding RNA of Oncorhynchus tshawytscha (Chinook salmon), 505 nucleotides long. The record is from Ensembl. Lineage: Eukaryota; Metazoa; Chordata; Actinopteri; Salmoniformes; Salmonidae.